RNAcentral lists this long non-coding RNA (4123 nucleotides) under Cucumis sativus (cucumber). RNAcentral describes it as "long non-coding RNA (CSAT_LNC000899)". The record is from RNAcentral. Lineage: Eukaryota; Viridiplantae; Streptophyta; Magnoliopsida; Cucurbitales; Cucurbitaceae.
CUCAGUUGGAGGUUCUUCUGCAGAGCGUCCAGCACCGCUCUUCCGCCGGCAUGGAUACAGAAAUGCUCGAAUGCGAGCUUAAAAUCUGGUACGUACGGUUUUACCUUUGCUUUCAGUACUUUCCUUUUCAACAUUGAGACGAAGAAGGCGAAUUGCUCUGAAAAUGGUAGUACCAAAGGGCCUAGAGUCGUGAUGUUCGUCUUUAAUGUUUCACUUGCAACCGCCAUUAAUUCGCGCGCGAGUGAAACUCCAAUUUUCCCUUCCUCGUCCUCUUUCUGAUAAACGCAAUUAUAGCUUUCGUCGUCAGCUCCUUUGUGAGUCCGAAUCGUGUGAAUCAACUCGUAUUUUGAGCGGGAUCGAUCCGUGUGCUUGUUCGAUAACAGCACGGCGGCUCCUCCCAUCCGAAACAGACAAUUGCUAAUCAGCAUCGAACGAUCGUUACCAAAGUACCAAUUUAGGGUUAUACUUUCGGUGCUCACAACUACGGCGUACGUGUUAGGGUUAGCGUUGAGAAGGUCCUUAGCAAGCGUAAUCGAGAUAGGGCUUGCGCUACAUCCCAUUCCACUGAGAUUGUAGGCUUUAACGUCGGUUCGAAGCUUGUAGUGGUUAACGAUCAUUGCGGACAGCGAUGGUAUGGGGUUGAAUAAGCUGCAAUUGACGAUUAGAAUUCCUAUUUCACUCGGGUCCAAGCCGGUUUUCUCGAAGAGAGCAUCGAGGGCGCCGAACAUUACAGUCUCCGCUUCGAAGCGUGCUUCGUCAAGACACAAAUUCGGCGGCCGAGAAGUAAUUCCUCUCGACAAGUAGGUUUCGUCGCCAAGACCGGCUCGUUUUGCUACUUUCGACAUAAACUUAAGGGCAUCUUCUUGAAAGCCACCGUUCGCUGCACUCAUUUCCAGGAAACUGUCCACCGUCAUCUUCCUCGCGUCCGCUGGUUUGUGACAGGCAAACUCCACCAGAUAAACCGGCGUGGAUCGCUUGGAACAGUAGAAGCCAAGGAGAAAUAUCGACAGCAAACCGGCUAUGGCCGUAGUUGCAUCAAUCUCAUAUUGUAAUCUUGUGGUCGGCAGUAACUCAGAUACUCGGAAGAGUUUGAAACCGGAAAGUUGAAUAGCGAGGGAAAUAAACAGAGGCAAAAUGACGAGGAACAUAAGAGUAGUGGCAGAGUUGGAUGAGUACCCAUAUCCCAAUUUUACAUAUUUAAGCUUGACUGACUGUAGAAAGUCCGGCAAGCGUUGCCGGAUUCUGAUAAGGAUGGAAGAGGAGUCCUUAAGCUCCAUUUCUGCCGUUAAUCUCUCUGUAUCCAUCUCUAUGCUCUCCAUAUACAACGUCUUGCUAAUUUCUCUGUGGUUGUCUUUGUGGAGCACACUCUCAAAUCUCACCCCUGUUGAAGUAAACUAUGUACCAUCUUAUAUAAACACAAGGAGGCCAUUUCAGAGAAGAAGAGGGACAGUGGAAGAAAUUAAUGAAGGCAAAGACUUUCACCCUUUCACACUUCCAGAUGGUUGGGUAGUGAGAAGCACACACAUACACACACACACAGAAAGAGAGAGAGAGAGAGAGAGAGAGAGAGAGAGAGAGAGAGAGAGACAAAGAGGUAGAGAGGGUUUGGCACUUGGCGGCACCAAGCAAGAAUAGAUAUAAACAAUAGAAGAAGAGUGAAGGGAAAGAAGGAAGGAGAGGGUAUGCAGAAAAUAAAUGGGAGUAGUUCCAAGAAUGGUGAGAUAGCUCAACAACCACACACCUCUGCAAGUAAGUUGGAGAGAAAGACCUUUCUAAUAAGGAACUUAAUUAAUGGAGAAAUCCUUUUCAAAUUGUAGUGGUUUUGAGAUUGGUAGUUAGAUAUUUAUUUGCAUAUCUUCUUUAAUGACAUCUCUCUCCGUGCUCUUCUGGUUAGCUAAGCAGCCCUUAUUUGGAUUGGACAAAUAUCUAUCUCCAUGCUAAACAGAAUUCCAUCUCCGACUUAGUUCUUCCAUCUAGCUUUUGCUUCUUUUUUUUUUUUUUUUUUGCAGGUAUGAAUGAAUAUAAUUUGCCAAUGCCUGAACCUUUUUUACUCCUAAAUGUUACUCUAAUCACCAUUUUCCCUUUUUGAAGCAUUUUCAUGUUAACUUCAUUGAAUUUUGAAUCUUGUAUUGGAAGGAUGUCAUUACUAUUGGUGAUGUCACUCUUUUCGUAGGACUACUGUGCAUAUGCCUGAAACAAAGUUGGGACCAUGGGCUAUAAAACAAGUUGCUUAUUUUGGGUUUUGUUUAUCCUUCCACGGAGACUCAAAACAGAGACGACAGAGCCCAACCUUUCCUUUCUCGGUUAGCCUUUCUCUUAAUUACACACGAUCAAAUCAAGGAUUGUUAUGUCUCUCCUCUUCUCCCUUUCUUGUUAAUCUGAAUACUACUUUUUCUCAUCGUAGAAUAUUAUUGUUCGAAAACAUAUACUUUCGUAAAAUUAUAUACGAGUCCAUAAAUAUUUUUGUAACAAUUUAGUUUAUACCUCAAAAUUUGCAACAAUUUAACCUCCAAAUUCUAGCGUUUGUAGUGGAAUCAAUUUGAAACUAAGGAUUUACUUUUUAUGGUAAAAACUAUUUGUAAAAUAUAAUGAAAUUUCUUACAUUAGAGACAUAAAGUAUAAACAAAGUUAUAUAAUACAAAAUGACACCCAACUACGAUGAGAUUUUUCACAACACAGAUUAAAUAUUACAAAUUUAAAUUAAAUAGAUUGAAUUUAUACUUGUUAAAAUUAAUAAACUAAAUUGUUAAUUUAGAAGUCCAUGGAUUGAAUUUCAUGAAAGUUGGAUUUGAUAGAUAACCAUUUUGUUAAUAAAAGUAGGGUUGGGUUUUGACAACGAUUCCAACUCCCUUCCAUUGUUCCUUUUAUGUUCGUUGACUCUUGGAUCCAGUUUACUCUAUGCUAAGGAAGGCAGACUCUUAUCUCAUUUCAUUUUAGUUUCUUAAACUAUCCUUGACUGAACUACCUCCAGAUUCUCUCUUUAAUCAUCGUGCUAUGCUAUGAAAGGUGUUUAGGUCAAGAAGUGAGUUAUUAUAAUCUUUUAGGUUAUUUUAGUUUGAGUUAUAGUAAUGUGUUUGGUAUGUAUGGUUUUAGUUUGAUAAAAAAUAGUAAACUCUGCCUAAUAAAAAAAAUUUGAAGAAUGUUAAAUAGUAAAUACUAUAACAAAUUGAGAGUUUUGAAAUAGUGUUUAAUGUAGUUAAUUGAAAGCUUUUAAAUAGUAUUUAUUAUACUAAGGAUGAUUACCUCAAAGGUUCCUAUAUUUUUGUAUGCUUUCUUUUCCUAUUAUUCUUAAACUUCUAGACUCCUCCAUUCAUCCCUGAAUUUUGAAUCCAUAUUUUCAGGUAAAAUAGUAGUGAAUGUGAACAAAUAAAUACUUUACAGAUGUGCAGUAGAAACCUUAAUGGAGUGCUAUUAAUAUUGGUUAUUGUUAAUUAAUUACUAUUAAAGAGAUGUAAUUAAUUAUAGUAUUAAGUGACCCAACUUGUCUAAUUUGACCUUGACGAAGGAAUUAAUGCGACAUCUUUUGCACAUAAAGUUAAUGGGAGAAAAUUCCUUACUUGUAAGUUUGGUAAAUACUUGAAGACCUGGGCUUUAAAUGAGCAAAUUUAGUGCAUGUUUUGAUUGAUUUUUAAUGUGUCUAGAAGUAGAAAAAAAAGUUUAUAAACACUUGAAAAGUAAAUCAAAAGCACCUCAGAGAGAAAUUGAGAAAUUGUGAUUAUUUGUAUUUGAAUAAUUUGAAUUAUGCAACAGCAUUAAUCUUGAAUGAAAUCACUUCUCUUAUUACAGUUUUUGAUUAUUUGUACAAUUACAAUGUAUUUAAUGAGUUUUGAGAAACAAGAAAAGGUACAAAUUUUCUUAGACUUCUCUAAUAUGUGUAGUUCUUUGCUUCGGCAUCAAUGAUUGUGACGACAGGAUGGAAAUACUUGCAAUGCAUCUCAGGAAUCAACUUCAUAACACCGGCGUUAUGAAGAGGAGAGAUUUCAGCUUCCUUCUACGGUAUUUUCAUCAGUUCUCCACACUAUGUCUUUUAAUCCGGAUGAGAAACUCUUAUAGAACUGCCACAUGCAAAUGAAAAAGCACAUUAAUAUAUACAGUAUUUGGGCCAUUAAGCUUUGGAAUGAGG